Molecule: small RNA, 76 nt
Filed under: Xanthomonas fragariae
Lineage: Bacteria; Pseudomonadati; Pseudomonadota; Gammaproteobacteria; Lysobacterales; Lysobacteraceae
Description: sX9 sRNA
Rfam family: Xanthomonas sRNA sX9
Source: RNAcentral
AUGUAUCACGCGGACACUCCCGCUCGUGCGGGCCGUCUGUACCCACCCGACGGCCGCCUGUUACCUGGUGUGAGUC